Unclassified non-coding RNA from Piliocolobus tephrosceles (Ugandan red Colobus), 294 nucleotides. It matches the Rfam family "Metazoan signal recognition particle RNA". From Rfam's summary of the family: The signal recognition particle (SRP) is a universally conserved ribonucleoprotein. It is involved in the co-translational targeting of proteins to membranes. The record is from Ensembl. NCBI's taxonomy places the organism in Eukaryota, Metazoa, Chordata, Mammalia, Primates, Cercopithecidae.
GGUAGGAGGAGACAUCAAAAUCACCCUGGCCACGUGGGGCCUUUUAAACAGAGCAAUUGCUUGAGCUUGAGAGUUCUGGGCUGUAGUGUGCUAUGCAAAUUGGGUGUCUGCAUCAAUAUGGGGACCCCCCCACUGCCACCAAAAGCAGGGGACCAUCAGGUUGCCUAAGGAGGAGUGAACUGGCCCAGGUCAGAAGUGGAGCAGGUCAAAACUCCUGCACUGAUCAGUAGUGGGAUUGCACCUGUGACUAGCCACUGCAUCCCAGCCAGGGCAACAUAGUGAGACCCUGUCUCA